This 429-nucleotide ribosomal RNA is filed under the name Acidobacteriota bacterium. Its description in RNAcentral is "Acidobacteria bacterium partial 16S ribosomal RNA". It matches the Rfam family "Bacterial small subunit ribosomal RNA", at positions 355 to 776 of the family's 1533-position model. Lineage: Bacteria; Pseudomonadati; Acidobacteriota. The record is from RNAcentral.
UGGGGAAUUUUGGACAAUGGGGGAAACCCUGAUCCAGCCAUCCCGCGUGUGCGAUGAAGGCCUUCGGGUUGUAAAGCACUUUUGGCAGGAAAGAAACGUCAUGGGUUAAUACCCCGUGAAACUGACGGUACCUGCAGAAUAAGCACCGGCUAACUACGUGCCAGCAGCCGCGGUAAUACGUAGGGUGCAAGCGUUAAUCGGAAUUACUGGGCGUAAAGCGUGCGCAGGCGGUUCGGAAAGAAAGAUGUGAAAUCCCAGAGCUCAACUUUGGAACUGCAUUUUUAACGAACGGGCUAGAGUGUGUCAGAGGGAGGUGGAAUUCCGCGUGUAGCAGUGAAAUGCGUAGAUAUGCGGAGGAACACCGAUGGCGAAGGCAGCCUCCUGGGAUAACACUGACGCUCAUGCACGAAAGCGUGGGGAGCAAACAGG